Molecule: ribosomal RNA, 497 nt
Filed under: uncultured bacterium
Lineage: Bacteria
Description: partial 16S ribosomal RNA
Rfam family: Bacterial small subunit ribosomal RNA
Source: RNAcentral
GAUGAACGCUGGCGGCGUGCCUAAUACAUGCAAGUCGAGCGAACAGACGAGGAGCUUGCUCCUCUGACGUUAGCGGCGGACGGGUGAGUAACACGUGGAUAACCUACCUUUAAGCCUGGGAUAACUUCGGGAACCCGGAGCUAAUACCGGGUAAUAUAUUGAACCGCAUGGUUCAAUAUUUAAAGACGGUUUUGCUGUCACUUAUUGAUGGAUCCGCGCCGCAUUAGCUAGUUGUUAUGGUAACGGCUUACAAAGGCAACGAUGCGUAGCCGACCUGAGAGGGUGAUCGGCCACACUGGAACUGAGACACGGUCCAGACUCCUACGGGAGGCAGCAGUAGGGAAUCUUCCGCAAAGGGCGAAAGCCUGACGGAGCAACGCCGCGUGAGUGAUGAAGGUCUUCGGAUCGUAAAACUCUGUUAUUAGGGAAGAACAAAUGUGUAAGUAACUAUGCACGUCUUGACGGUACCUAAUCAGAAAGCCACGGCUAACUACGUG